This 449-nucleotide ribosomal RNA is filed under the name uncultured bacterium. RNAcentral describes it as "bacterial SSU rRNA". It matches the Rfam family "Bacterial small subunit ribosomal RNA", at positions 958 to 1397 of the family's 1533-position model. The record is from RNAcentral.
AACGCGAAGAACCUUACCUGGGCUCGAAAUGUAGGAAGUAGAAGCUAAGAAAUUGGCGACGAACCGUUGAAUCGGUAACCUAUAUAGGUGCUGCAUGGCUGUCGUCAGCUCGUGUCGUGAGAUGUUGGGUUAAGUCCCGCAACGAGCGCAACCCUUAUUGUCUAGUUGCCACCGGGUAAUGCCGAGCACUCUGACGAAACUGCCUGGGAUAACCAGGAGGAAGGUGGGGAUGACGUCAAGUCCUCAUGGCCUUUAUGUCCAGGGCUACACACGUGCUACAAUGGUCGGUACAAACCGUCCCAAACCCGCGAGGGGGAGGCGAAUCGGAAAAAGCCGGCCUCAGUUCGGAUUGGAGUCUGCAACCCGACUCCAUGAAGCUGGAAUCGCUAGUAAUCGCGGAUCAGAACGCCGCGGUGAAUACGUUCCCGGGUCUUGUACACACCGCAUAC